UUCCGUAGGUGAACCUGCGGAACGAUCAUUAAAAAAUUGGACUCCAUUGGUGAGUUCAUUAAUAAUCCCUACCCUUUGUGAAUUUGUUUGUUUGAAUAAUUUUUUUUCCAAAAAAAAUUAUUGAAUGUCUUUCCCUGUUUUGGUGGAGCUUGUAAAGUGAAACCAGGCAGGGGAAUGGCAAACAAUAAUUAUUUUUGAAAAAAGACCUUUUUUUAAAAUUAAACUUUUUGUAUUCAUUUGUCUAAAAUUAUUUUUAUAAUAUAAAAACAACUUUUGACAAUGGAUCUCUUGGUUCUCGCAACGAUGAAGAACGCAGCAAAAUGCGAUAAGUAGUGUGAAUUGCAGAAUACGUGAAUCAUCGAAUCUUCGAACGCAUAUUGCACUUUUUUAGUUUACUAAAAAAGUAUGUCUGUUUGAGUAUCAGUAAAAUAUUCUCAUAAAAAACAUUGUUUUUUUAUGGUUAUGAGUGUUUUACAACGAUAACAAGUUGUUUCACUUUAAAUUCUUUGUUAUCAAAAAAAUCAUUAAAAGCUAAUUUUAAAGAUUUUUUAAAAUUGGAUAAAAUUUUCCCGUAAAAAGGAAUAACCUAAACAAUUUUAAAAAAUUAAAAUUGGUUUGAUUUUUUUUGAAACCCAAAGGAAAAAAAAACGAAAUUAACUUGAUCUCAAAUCAGAUAAGAGUACCCGCUGAACUUAAGCAUAUCAAUAAGCGGAGGAAAAGAAACUAACUAGGAUUCCCUCAGUAACGGCGAGUGAAGCGGGAAGAGCUCAAAUUUGAAAUCUUCAAGGUUUACCUUGACGAAUUGUAGUUUAAAGAAGUGUUUUCUGUUGGAGUUUUGGUAAAAGUUCUUUGGAAAAGGACAUCAUAGAGGGUGAGAAUCCCGUAUUUGACCAUUAUCUCCAGCUUUGUGAUACACUUUCAAAGAGUCGGAUUGUUUGGGAAUGCAGUCCAAAAUGGGUGGUAAAUUUCAUCUAAAGCUAAAUACUGGCGAGAGACCGAUAGCGAACAAGUACCGUGAGGGAAAGAUGAAAAGAACUUUGAAAAGAGAGUUAAACAGUACGUGAAAUUGUCAAAAGGGAAGCGUUUGACACCAGUGUUGUUUUCUCGAAAAUCAAUUAAAAAAGGCCGGAUUUUGUGUUGUAUUGACUUUAUCAGCUUUCUGCACUUUUUUCUUGUCUUUUUUAAUGCACUUUUCGUUUAACAAGUCAACAUCAAUUUCUUUUGUUGUAAAAGGGUCAUUGGAAGGUGGCUUUCUUUACGGAGAAAGUGUUUAUAGCCUUUGGCCUCUGCAAUCGGAGAGAUUGAGGUCUGCAGCGUAGAUCCUUCGGGGUUAGAUACAUUUGUGCUAAGUUAUAGCCUUUCAUAGACAACUUGUUGACUAUGAUCAGUCAUGUAGCUUACUCGCUGAUGCUAUUU
Molecule: unclassified non-coding RNA, 1416 nt
Filed under: uncultured Neocallimastigales
Lineage: Eukaryota; Fungi; Neocallimastigomycota; Neocallimastigomycetes; Neocallimastigales
Description: partial contains small subunit ribosomal RNA, internal transcribed spacer 1, 5.8S ribosomal RNA, internal transcribed spacer 2, and large subunit ribosomal RNA
Rfam family: Eukaryotic large subunit ribosomal RNA (bases 660-1416)
Source: RNAcentral